AGAACAUGACCCACGAACCAUGAAAAAUGGCCUAGCCUGGGAUAUUGAUAAUUUCCGUAUAUAAUAAUCUUCUGGAUAUAGGCUUUCUAGAAAUGUUUUUCUUUUUUUCAUAUAUUCUAUACUUUUUUGUUAAUAUGACGUUGAAUAUUGUGGUAUUUAAUGUUAAAAAAUUAACAUUUCGGGAUACACGUCACAACAAUAAACCUGCAAUGACCAUGUACAAUGUACAUGAACCUAUAAAUCUCUGAAUAUAUCAAGUUAUAUGCACUCAAAUAGCUAGAAUGGCUAAUUCAAUGAUCAUAAUAAGCAUUUUUGACCAAAUAUGGGAAAUAGAAAUAAGAAAUAUUUUGGAAAUGAUGUUCAAAGCCGUGAUUGUUCAACUUUACUUUUAAAUUAUUUUUACUUGAAUUUUGAAAUACUGAAAUAAGAAUAAAUAUAGUAUGUAGUCUAUUUACAUGGUGAAAGAAGUGAAUCAUUGGAACAAUUCUGUUUCAUAUCAUAUUCCAUGGUUUUUGGAUUUUGUUUUGUUUUUUUGGUUGUUUUUUGUUUUGUUUUUUGUAUUAAAACGACCGAGUAUCGAUAUCAAUGGUAACGAAAUAAGUUGACACCGCGUCUCGUCAAAACAUGUUCAAUUCGAAUUUACUCGGAAUUACACGGCCAACGAGCAUUUGCUGUGAAACCUGAUUAAAGGAAAAUUACUGUAGACACCUAAUAGUAAGUAUCAAAUGAUCUUUUUUGUUACAUGUACAUGUAGAUUUCAUAGCGUGAAUAAUAACAACACAACACCGAUAUAGGGGAUCAGAGUCAGUAUAUUAUUGACUCUGAAAAUACGAUUUGAGAAAUGAUACUGUAUAAAUUUUACUGUAUUUAUCUUGAUCAAUAAUUGCAUAUUCCUAUACGUAUUAAUCAUGUAAAGAUACUGAGGUCUUUUAACCAACAAUUUUAAAUGCUUGUGCCAGGGCCGUAAAUUACAUGGAGGCGGAGGAGGCAGCUGCCUCCUCCAACUUUUGAGCCAAAAAAAAUUAAAAUUUAAAGUUCAUAUAGAAUUUAUGUUGUUUCCAAUAACUAAGAACAUGAUACCUCCCUUAAAAAGCAUUCCAAAUCUUUCUUUUAGAAUGAGUUAGUCAAGUAACAUCUUAGAAGGCCCUAGAAUCAAGGAUUUUGCACGAAACGUGUUCAGUGUGCACAAAAUGUGCUCAACGUCUGGGGGCCUGGGGCCCCAGACCCCCGCCUAAUUUUCUGCCUCCUCCAAAUUGAAGGUUAAUUUACGGCCCUGCAGUGUGCAAUACAUUAUUGACUGACAGAACGUAAUUCAUGAGCUGUGAUCUAAAAAUCUUCCAGACAUUAAUAUAGAUUUGAAUAGAAUUACAUCUAGAUACAUAUUUGAAAUGGAAUAUAUCCUAAGGCACUGUAGUUUUAAAUUGUUUGGAUUAUAUUGCAUUUACAUGUAAUUUAUACAUGCUUGUAAAUGCCACAGAAUGAGAAAUAAUCUAAAUUGGCCUAUUUUCAUAAUGUUCCCAAAAUAGAAGUAUCAUGUAGAUCUAUACAGGAAAUAACAUUUACAAAUCAUGUUUGUUGUUUGUUAUUUGCCAGUUAAGGUAUUCAAUGUAUAAUGACCAUAUUUCAUAUCUAAUAAAUGGAUCGUGGAAUAUUUGUAAUCAUGGUAUCAUUGUGAAGGGUUCAUCAAAUAAAAAUAACCCACGGUAGGAAUUUUCUAAAUUUUGUUUACUGCUUGAUAUAUUUCACCUAGAAUUUAACAUUGAAGUAUAUGGGAAAAGCAUCUUUUAUUACAAUAUUUUAAAAACAAAUUAUAUAUUCAUACUAAUCUCUUGGUAGAAAGUUACAUACACUUUCUUUUUAUGAAAAUAUGAAAUAAAAUUAAUCAUUGACCACACACAUUUUUAGAAAAUUAGAUUUUCCUUAUUUUUACAAAGGGCAGACAACUCUUCCAAAAAGUCUUAAGUGCAAAAAGGUCAGCUUCUAAUCAUUUACCAGUCAUGUGAAUUUCAUCUGCUUCACUUCCAUCAUUAUUUAACAAUAAAGUUUUAUGUUGAUCUAAAUCCUUCAAAAUUGUUCAUUAUCCUUUCAUUAUACAUGGAAUACCUUAAGUAUCAUAAUGAUAAUACUAGUAGUUCAUGAUAAGUAAUUAUUAUGCUAAAAUCAAAUACCCUUUUUAUUGUCAACAAAUACAUCACUGGUAGAAAGGUUAUAAAGCUUUUAUAUAGCACAAGUUUCCAUAUUCUACAGGUUUACAUAUGUCAGCAAGUCCUCAAAAGCAGCUUUAGGGGUUCCCAGGAGAUUCUGAUGCUCACUGUGAUUUGUACAGAAGCGAAUGAUGGCCUCUUUUGAAAUUAAGAUUUCAUGCCUUACUCCUACUGGGACUACAACUAACUUUGGACCUGGUCACUCGCAGAUACAGCAUGAAGUGUGCCCUCUUGAUGUACAUGGGGAUGGGAGUGAUACAGAAGGGGGACUAAUUGGAAGAACUGCUACUGCUGGUGGUGGUGCUGGACUGUCUUGAAUCUGUUGCCUAACCGACUUGAUAUUCUUCUGUUUAAUAUGGGAGCAACACACACACUCUGGCAUAUAUUGCACAGAAAAUCAUGAUCAGAUGGUGCCCUCCCUAUCAGAGUGGUGAUCACUGUCCUAUAUUUCUUUGAAAUCCUGGAUCUGUGUUUUGGUUUUACUCUCCAUGGACAGUUGAAACAGAGAAAGAAUUAGGGACCACUCCUUGGCAUAUCUGAAAUAUUUAUGUCAUAUACAUGUAAUUAAAAUAUACAAUUUGGGUUGGAUGAAAAUCUUAUCUUCAUGUUAAAACCCAUUAGCCUAGGUUAUUUUUCCUAAAAUCUAAUUAUAAAUCAAUUAACUUGUUAAUUAAUGCUUGGUGAAUCAAUUAAUAAAUUGUAUUCAAAAACUUGAAAUUAUUUUUUUUCCACUAAUAAACUGAAAAUGUGUAUCUUCAAA
This is a long non-coding RNA of Ostrea edulis (European flat oyster), 2964 nucleotides long. RefSeq lists it as uncharacterized. The record is from RefSeq and is a predicted model, not a curated record. NCBI's taxonomy places the organism in Eukaryota, Metazoa, Mollusca, Bivalvia, Ostreida, Ostreidae. The transcript has 2 exons.